RNAcentral lists this ribosomal RNA (490 nucleotides) under uncultured bacterium. RNAcentral describes it as "partial 16S ribosomal RNA". It matches the Rfam family "Bacterial small subunit ribosomal RNA", at positions 28 to 506 of the family's 1533-position model. The record is from RNAcentral.
GAUGAACGCUAGCGACAGGCUUAACACAUGCAAGUCGAGGGGCAGCAUGAACUUAGCUUGCUAAGUUUGAUGGCGACCGGCGCACGGGUGAGUAACGCGUAUGCAACUUACCUAUCAGAGGAGAAUAGCUCAUCGAAAGAUGAAUUAAUGCUCCAUAAAACAGGGGUCCCGCAUGGGAAUAUUUGUUAGAGAUUCAUCGCUGAUAGAUAGGCAUGCGUUCCAUUAGGCAGUUGGCGGGGUAACGGCCCACCAAACCGACGAUGGAUAGGGGUUCUGAGAGGGAGGUCACCCACAUGGGAAAUGAGACACGGACAAAACUGCGACGGGAGGCAGCAGAGAGGAAUAUAGGUCAAUGGCUGUGAGGCUGAACCAGGUAAUUAGCGUGAAAGAAGAAUGAUCUAUGGUUUGUAAACUUCUUUUAAACAAGAAUAAAGUGGGGAACGCGUUCCAGUUUGUAGGUACCGUAUGGAUAAGCAUCGGCAAACUCCGU